RNAcentral lists this ribosomal RNA (492 nucleotides) under uncultured bacterium. Its description in RNAcentral is "partial 16S ribosomal RNA". It matches the Rfam family "Bacterial small subunit ribosomal RNA", at positions 29 to 507 of the family's 1533-position model. The record is from RNAcentral.
AGUGAACGCUGGCGGUAGGCCUAACACAUGCAAGUCGAACGGCAGCGCAGUAAGAGCUUGCUCUUACGGGUGGCGAGUGGCGGACGGGUGAGGAAUACAUCGGAAUCUACUUUUUCGUGGGGGAUAACGUAGGGAAACUUACGCUAAUACCGCAUACGACCUACGGGUGAAAGCAGGGGAUCUUCGGACCUCGCGCGAUUGAAUGAGCCGAUGUCGGAUUAGCUAGUUGGCGGGGUAAAGGCCCACCAAGGCGACGAUCCGUAGCUGGUCUGAGAGGAUGAUCAGCCACACUGGAACUGAGACACGGUCCAGACUCCUACGGGAGGCAGCAGUGGGGAAUAUUGGACAAUGGGCGCAAGCCUGAUCCAGCCAUACCGCGUGGGUGAAGAAGGCCUUCGGGUUGUAAAGCCCUUUUGUUGGGAAAGAAAAGCAGCAGGUUAAUACCCCGCUGUUCUGACGGUACCCAAAGAAUAAGCACCGGCUAACUUCGUG